Molecule: unclassified non-coding RNA, 323 nt
Filed under: soil metagenome
Description: partial contains 5.8S ribosomal RNA, internal transcribed spacer 2, and large subunit ribosomal RNA
Rfam family: 5.8S ribosomal RNA (bases 1-120)
Source: RNAcentral
GAUGAAGAACGCAGCGAAAUGCGAUAAGUAGUGUGAAUUGCAGAAUUCAGUGAAUCAUCGAAUCUUUGAACGCACAUUGCGCCCCUUGGUAUUCCAUGGGGCAUGCCUGUUCGAGCGUCAUUUGUACCUUCAAGCUUUGCUUGGUGUUGGGUGUUUGUCCUGAGGGACUCGCCUUAAAGUAAUUGGCAGCCAUUGUUUGGUUUUGAAGCGCAGCACAAGUCGCGAUUCAAAGCUAUACGCCCGCUUCCACAAGCCUUUUUCACUUUUGACCUCGGAUCAGGUAGGGAUACCCGCUGAACUUAAGCAUAUCAAUAAGCGGAGGA